RNAcentral lists this unclassified non-coding RNA (914 nucleotides) under Hevea brasiliensis (rubber tree). Lineage: Eukaryota; Viridiplantae; Streptophyta; Magnoliopsida; Malpighiales; Euphorbiaceae. The record is from RNAcentral.
GAUCAGGCAAUCUUGGCGGAGGAAGAGCGCCUCGUCGUCAUCCGAUUCGGCCACGACUGGGACGAGACUUGCAUGCAGGUAUAAACCCUCUCUUUUUUCAUCUUCUCUCUUUGCCUCUCUUUGAUUGUUACCGGAAAUUCAACUUCUUUCAAUCUCAAGUACCGAUCAAACAACUUUUUUUUAUUGGAAUUCGAAUUUCUUGCAUUUGUACUGUUCAUUUUCCAUUAUUAAAUGCCUAAUUGUUGUGUUGAUGUUAUUCAUCUCUCUUUAGAGUGAUUUGGGGGCGUAGGAUUGUGUGUAAUUUUCUGAAUUUUUUCUCCCCUCUUUUUAUUGUCCGUCCCACAAUGGUUGUUUGGAAUUAAGGUUACGGCGUAAUAGUUAUGGAAAUGAUUUGCUUUUCAACUAUUUUCUUGUGGUAGUUUCCUCGUUACAGCUUUUUGGUUUUGGGUGAUGUUUUAUUCUCCUUUCAGCUGUCAAAUGGGUUUAAGUGUUUAAUUUGAGUGCAUUUUGCUAUAAGCUGAUAAAUUUUUGCUUCACAGGAAUUGGACUUGACUUCGGUUCUCAAUCUUUACGAGUUAACUGGAAUUGCAAGAUUAUGCUUUUAGUUGAACUAACUAAUAUUUUGGCUUCGAUGGAACUGUUUCUUUUAUUUUGUUGGGUGACAAUGUAUCUGUUUCCUGGCUAUCAUGCUAUAUUCCUUUAAUCUAUGCAUGUUGUUAUCUGAUGGGUUUGUACGUAUUUAAUGAACUGUUGUUGCAUUGUUAGGUUGAUUUCUUUAUUAAAAAUUGGGCUUUUCCAUUUGAAAAAUGUUUUUGAAUGACCAACUCAAUCUAAAAGGCUCUAAUAUCUGUGAUAAUAUUUCCUCUCAAAUUGGUUUUGUUGGUCUUAUUUAGAUGGAUGAAGUGCUCGCAUCA